RNAcentral lists this non-coding RNA (31 nucleotides) under Rattus norvegicus (Norway rat). The record is from RNAcentral. Lineage: Eukaryota; Metazoa; Chordata; Mammalia; Rodentia; Muridae.
UGAAGCUGUCACGAGAUGUCACUUGUCAUAU